GUCACGCUCUAUGUUGGACUGUAGACAACUAGGUUAACAAAAUUGGAUAUUCUGCAUAUUUUCUGAAUUUUUAGUAAGGGCUAGAUGAAUAUUGUAUGCAAUAGUUCUGACUUUGGGCACUGAUUAAUUCUUCAUAUGCAGGAACGUGGCGAGAUGGUGGGCUCCAAGGCCAUCGAGAUAUUGUUGCCCCUGCAGCUUGAGAUGUAAUUGGUCCAAAUGAAUAACCACCAUUUCGAAGGGACAAGGAAGGGAUUGUUGGUGCUCAGGGACACCGCUCCCAACACCUUUAGCCUUGGCCCGAUGCCCCAGUUCGCACAGUCAGGAGGUUUUCCGUAUCAGCUUCAGUUUGUUCACGGUGUUUUAUCAAUGAUGAUGUACUGCUUCAAAAUUUGUUCUGGUACUCUCCAAAUUUAUAUGACCCAAGAAUAUGUCCUGGAUCACUGUUUUAUAUUCAGAAGUUCAUUCUUGU
This is a long non-coding RNA of Hordeum vulgare subsp. vulgare (domesticated barley), 469 nucleotides long. RefSeq lists it as uncharacterized. The record is from RefSeq and is a predicted model, not a curated record. NCBI's taxonomy places the organism in Eukaryota, Viridiplantae, Streptophyta, Magnoliopsida, Poales, Poaceae. The transcript has 2 exons.